GUUCCUGUAGUUGAGUAACAACGGUGGUUUUUCAAGCCAUAGGGUCGGGUUAAAGUCCCGGGAGGAAUU
Molecule: transfer RNA, 69 nt
Filed under: Dentex dentex (common dentex)
Lineage: Eukaryota; Metazoa; Chordata; Actinopteri; Spariformes; Sparidae
Description: tRNA-Glu
Rfam family: tRNA
About the family: Transfer RNA (tRNA) molecules are approximately 80 nucleotides in length. Their secondary structure includes four short double-helical elements and three loops (D, anti-codon, and T loops).
Source: RNAcentral